RNAcentral lists this unclassified non-coding RNA (334 nucleotides) under soil metagenome. RNAcentral's name for it is "partial contains 5.8S ribosomal RNA, internal transcribed spacer 2, and large subunit ribosomal RNA". The stretch from base 1 to 120 matches the Rfam family "5.8S ribosomal RNA", at positions 35 to 154 of the family's 154-position model. The record is from RNAcentral.
GAUGAAGAACGCAGUGAAAUGCGAUAAGUAAUGUGAAUUGCAGAAUUCAGUGAAUCAUCGAAUCUUUGAACGCACAUUGCGCCCCCCAGUAUUCUGGCGGGCAUGCCUGUUCGAGCGUCAUUUCAACCAUCAAGCCCUGCUUGUGUUGGGGUCCUGCGGCUGCCCGCAGGCCCUGAAAACCAGUGGCGGGCUCGCUAGUCACACCGAGCGCAGUAGCACAUCUCGCUCAGGGCGUGCGGCGGGCUCCAGCCGUUAAAGCACCCACCUUUCGCAAGGUUGACCUCGGAUCAGGUAGGAAUACCCGCUGAACUUAAGCAUAUCAAUAAGCGGAGGA